GUUGUAUGGUUAAGUGACUAAGCGUACACGGUGGAUGCCUGGGCAGUCAGAGGCGAUGAAGGACGUACUAACUUGCGAUAAGCGCAGAUAAGGCAGUAAGAGCCGUUUGAGUCUGCGAUUUCCGAAUGGGGAAACCCAACUGCAUAAGCAGUUACUGUUAACUGAAUACAUAGGUUAACAGAGCAAACCGGGGGAACUGAAACAUCUAAGUACCCCGAGGAGAAGAAAUCAACCGAGAUUCCGGUAGUAGCGGCGAGCGAACCUGGAUUAGCCCUUAAGCACUCGGUGAAGUAGGUGAACAAGCUGGAAAGCUUGGCGAUACAGGGUGAUAGCCCCGUAACCGACGCUUCAUCGAGCGUGAAAUCGAGUAGGGCGGGACACGUGAUAUCCUGUCUGAAUAUGGGGGGACCAUCCUCCAAGGCUAAAUACUCCUGACUGACCGAUAGUGAACCAGUACCGUGAGGGAAAGGCGAAAAGAACCCCUGUGAGGGGAGUGAAAUAGAACCUGAAACCGUGUACGUACAAGCAGUAGGAGCACCUUCGUGGUGUGACUGCGUACCUUUUGUAUAAUGGGUCAGCGACUUAUAUUCAGUGGCAAGGUUAACCGUAUAGGGGAGCCGUAGCGAAAGCGAGUCUUAACUGGGCGCUCAGUCUCUGGAUAUAGACCCGAAACCGGGUGAUCUAGCCAUGGGCAGGUUGAAGGUUGAGUAACAUCAACUGGAGGACCGAACCGACUAAUGUUGAAAAAUUAGCGGAUGACUUGUGGCUAGGGGUGAAAGGCCAAUCAAACUCGGAGAUAGCUGGUUCUCCCCGAAAGCUAUUUAGGUAGCGCCUCGGACGAAUACUACUGGGGGUAGAGCACUGUUAAGGCUAGGGGGUCAUCCCGACUUACCAACCCUUUGCAAACUCCGAAUACCAGUAAGUACUAUCCGGGAGACACACGGCGGGUGCUAACGUCCGUCGUGGAGAGGGAAACAACCCAGACCGCCAGCUAAGGUCCCAAAGUAUUGCUAAGUGGGAAACGAUGUGGGAAGGCUCAGACAGCUAGGAUGUUGGCUUAGAAGCAGCCAUCAUUUAAAGAAAGCGUAAUAGCUCACUAGUCGAGUCGGCCUGCGCGGAAGAUGUAACGGGGCUAAGCAAUACACCGAAGCUGCGGCAAUGUCUUUUAGAUAUUGGGUAGGGGAGCGUUCUGUAAGCCGUUGAAGGUGAAUCGUAAGGUUUGCUGGAGGUAUCAGAAGUGCGAAUGCUGACAUGAGUAACGACAAAGGGGGUGAAAAACCUCCUCGCCGGAAGACCAAGGGUUCCUGUCCAACGUUAAUCGGGGCAGGGUGAGUCGACCCCUAAGGUGAGGCCGAAAGGCGUAAUCGAUGGGAAACGGGUUAAUAUUCCCGUACUUCUGACUAUUGCGAUGGGGGGACGGAGAAGGCUAGGUGGGCCAGGCGACGGUUGUCCUGGUUCAAGUGCGUAGGCUUGAGAGUUAGGUAAAUCCGGCUCUCUUUAAGGCUGAGACACGACGUCGAGCUGCUACGGCAGUGAAGUCAUUGAUGCCAUGCUUCCAGGAAAAGCCUCUAAGCUUCAGAUAGUCAGGAAUCGUACCCCAAACCGACACAGGUGGUCGGGUAGAGAAUACCAAGGCGCUUGAGAGAACUCGGGUGAAGGAACUAGGCAAAAUGGUACCGUAACUUCGGGAGAAGGUACGCUCUUGAUGGUGAAGUCCCUCGCGGAUGGAGCUGACGAGAGUCGCAGAUACCAGGUGGCUGCAACUGUUUAUUAAAAACACAGCACUGUGCAAAAUCGCAAGAUGACGUAUACGGUGUGACGCCUGCCCGGUGCCGGAAGGUUAAUUGAUGGGGUUAGCGCAAGCGAAGCUCUUGAUCGAAGCCCCGGUAAACGGCGGCCGUAACUAUAACGGUCCUAAGGUAGCGAAAUUCCUUGUCGGGUAAGUUCCGACCUGCACGAAUGGCGUAAUGAUGGCCACGCUGUCUCCACCCGAGACUCAGUGAAAUUGAAAUCGCUGUGAAGAUGCAGUGUACCCGCGGCUAGACGGAAAGACCCCGUGAACCUUUACUACAGCUUGGCACUGAACAUUGAACCUACAUGUGUAGGAUAGGUGGGAGGCUAUGAAGACGUGACGCCAGUUGCGUUGGAGCCGUCCUUGAAAUACCACCCUUGUAUGUUUGAUGUUCUAACUUAG
Molecule: ribosomal RNA, 2194 nt
Filed under: Vibrio cholerae
Lineage: Bacteria; Pseudomonadati; Pseudomonadota; Gammaproteobacteria; Vibrionales; Vibrionaceae
Description: partial 23S ribosomal RNA
Rfam family: Bacterial large subunit ribosomal RNA
Source: RNAcentral